Molecule: ribosomal RNA, 19 nt
Filed under: Lygodium microphyllum
Lineage: Eukaryota; Viridiplantae; Streptophyta; Polypodiopsida; Schizaeales; Lygodiaceae
Description: partial 5.8S ribosomal RNA
Source: RNAcentral
ACGACUCUCAGCAACGGAU